AUUGAACGCUGGCGGCAGGCCUAACACAUGCAAGUCGAACGGCAGCACAGAAGAGCUUGCUCUUUGGGUGGCGAGUGGCGGACGGGUGAGUAAUGUCUGGGAAACUGCCCGAUGGAGGGGGAUAACUACUGGAAACGGUAGCUAAUACCGCAUAACGUCGCGAGACCAAAGUGGGGGACCUUCGGGCCUCACACCAUCGGAUGUGCCCAGAUGGGAUUAGCUAGUAGGUGGGGUAAUGGCUCACCUAGGCGACGAUCCCUAGCUGGUCUGAGAGGAUGAGCGGCCACACUGGAACUGAGACACGUUCCAGACUAUUACGGGAGGCAGCAGUGGGGAAUAUUGCACAAUGGGCGCAAGCCUGAUGCAGCCAUGCCGCGUGUAUGAAGAAGGCCUUCGGGUUGUAAAGUACUUUCAGCGGGGAGGAAGGCGGUGAGGUUAAUAACCUCGCCGAUUGACGUUACCCGCAGAAGAAGCACCGGCUAACUCCGUGCCAGCAGCCACGGUAA
This 506-nucleotide ribosomal RNA is filed under the name uncultured bacterium. RNAcentral's name for it is "partial 16S ribosomal RNA". It matches the Rfam family "Bacterial small subunit ribosomal RNA", at positions 30 to 523 of the family's 1533-position model. The record is from RNAcentral.